Brienomyrus brachyistius is the source of this 571-nucleotide long non-coding RNA. RefSeq lists it as uncharacterized. The record is from RefSeq and is a predicted model, not a curated record. The transcript has 4 exons. NCBI's taxonomy places the organism in Eukaryota, Metazoa, Chordata, Actinopteri, Osteoglossiformes, Mormyridae.
GCAGACUGUGGCAGCGCCACAGACAAGCACGUCCAUGGUCUGUGUCUGUCUGUAAGUAAUUCAAGUGAUGUAAGAGUUAGAGUCUUGUUCCAAAUAUGUUAAAACGACGGGGACUGAAAGGAGACAUUACCAUUACCGAGCGUGCGUCUAAAUAUUUGUAUUUAUUUUAAACAAAUCACGUAAUACAAUGGUUUUCUCCGCUGAAAAGUUUUUUUUUAUGUCUGUGUCUGUGUCAGCAGACAGCUGUUCAUAAAUACACAGUGAGCUAAUAGGGGCAAAGGGAUUGUACUACCUCUUCAAAGACAGCUGAAAGGAAGGGGAGGUGAUGUGUCAUACAGGGCACCAAAGAAGCGGGACUCCGAUGACUCCUCGCCAACCCCCCACCCCCACAGAAGCAGAACGUUUCGGUCAACGGGAGACGCGGUGGUGAACCAGAAUUCACCUCUGAUCCCUGAGGACCCUGUACAACCUCAGGGGCUGGACCCCCAAACAUGGGCAAGAUGUCAGUUUCCAGAAUGUGUGUGUGUGUGUGUCGGGGGGGGGGUGUCCACAUGGCCGCCUCUGGUCUCUG